GUCGCAAGACCAAAGAGGGGGACCUUCGGGCCUCUUGCCAUCAGAUGUGCCCAGAUGGGAUUAGCUUGUUGGUGAGGUAACGGCUCACCAAGGCGACGAUCCCUAGCUGGUCUGAGAGGAUGACCAGCCACACUGGAACUGAGACACGGUCCAGACUCCUACGGGAGGCAGCAGUGGGGAAUAUUGCACAAUGGGCGCAAGCCUGAUGCAGCCAUGCCGCGUGUAUGAAGAAGGCCUUCGGGUUGUAAAGUACUUUCAGCGGGGAGGAAGGUGUUGUGGUUAAUAACCGCAGCAAUUGACGUUACCCGCAGAAGAAGCACCGGCUAACUCCGUGCCAGCAGCCGCGGUAAUACGGAGGGUGCAAGCGUUAAUCGGAAUUACUGGGCGUAAAGCGCACGCAGGCGGUCUGUCAAGUCGGAUGUGAAAUCCCCGGGCUCAACCUGGGAACUGCAUUCGAAACUGGCAGGCUUGAGUCUUGUAGAGGGGGGUAGAAUUCCAGGUGUAGCGGUGAAAUGCGUAGAGAUCUGGAGGAAUACCGGUGGCGAAGGCGGCCCCCUGGACAAAGACUGACGCUCAGGUGCGAAAGCGUGGGGAGCAAACAGGAUUAGAUACCCUGGUAGUCCACGCCGUAAACGAUGUCUACUUGGAGGUUGUGCCCUUGAGGCGUGGCUUCCGGAGCUAACGCGUUAAGUAGACCGCCUGGGGAGUACGGCCGCAAGGUUAAAACUCAAAUGAAUUGACGGGGGCCCGCACAAGCGGUGGAGCAUGUGGUUUAAUUCGAUGCAACGCGAAGAACCUUACCUGGUCUUGACAUCCACGGAAGUUUUCAGAGAUGAGAAUGUGCCUUCGGGAACCGUGAGACAGGUGCUGCAUGGCUGUCGUCAGCUCGUGUUGUGAAAUGUUGGGUUAAGUCCCGCAACGAGCGCAACCCUUAUCCUUUGUUGCCAGCGGUCCGGCCGGGAACUCAAAGGAGACUGCCAGUGAUAAACUGGAGGAAGGUGGGGAUGACGUCAAGUCAUCAUGGCCCUUACGACCAGGGCUACACACGUGCUACAAUGGCGCAUACAAAGAGAAGCGACCUCGCGAGAGCAAGCGGACCUCAUAAAGUGCGUCGUAGUCCGGAUUGGAGUCUGCAACUCGACUCCAUGAAGUCGGAAUCGCUAGUAAUCGUGGAUCAGAAUGCCACGGUGAAUACGUUCCCGGGCCUUGUACACACCGCCCGUCACACCAUGGGAGUGGGUUGCAAAAGAAGUAGGUAGCUUAACCUUCGGGAGGGCGCUUACCACUUUGUGAUUCAUGACUGGGGUGAAGUCGUAACAAGGUAACCGUAGGGGAACCUGCGGUUGGAUCACCUCCUUACCUUAAAGAAGC
This 1371-nucleotide ribosomal RNA is filed under the name Salmonella enterica subsp. enterica. Its description in RNAcentral is "bacterial SSU rRNA". It matches the Rfam family "Bacterial small subunit ribosomal RNA", at positions 173 to 1533 of the family's 1533-position model. Lineage: Bacteria; Pseudomonadati; Pseudomonadota; Gammaproteobacteria; Enterobacterales; Enterobacteriaceae. The record is from RNAcentral. RNAcentral also lists the same sequence under 1 other name.